UGGGGAAUAUUGCACAAUGGGCGAAAGCCUGAUGCAGCAACGCCGCGUGAGGGACGACGGCCUUCGGGUUGUAAACCUCUUUUAGCAAGGAAGAAGCGAAAGUGACGGUACUUGCAGAAAAAGCGCCGGCUAACUACGUGCCAGCAGCCGCGGUAAUACGUAGGGCGCAAGCGUUAUCCGGAAUUAUUGGGCGUAAAGAGCUCGUAGGCGGUUUGUCGCGUCUGCUGUGAAAACCCGAGGCUCAACCUCGGGCCUGCAGUGGGUACGGGCAGACUAGAGUGCGGUAGGGGAGAUUGGAACUCCUGGUGUAGCGGUGGAAUGCGCAGAUAUCAGGAAGAACACCGAUGGCGAAGGCAGAUCUCUGGGCCGUAACUGACGCUGAGGAGCGAAAGGGUGGGGAGCAAACAGGGCUUAGAAUGACCCUGGUAGUCCACCCCGUAAACGUUGGGAACUAGUUGUGGGGUCCAUUCCACGGAUUCCGUGACGCAGCUAACGCAUUAAGUUCCCCGCCUGGGGAGUACGGCCGCAAGGCUAAACU
Molecule: ribosomal RNA, 538 nt
Filed under: uncultured bacterium
Lineage: Bacteria
Description: partial 16S ribosomal RNA
Rfam family: Bacterial small subunit ribosomal RNA
Source: RNAcentral